Molecule: ribosomal RNA, 464 nt
Filed under: uncultured bacterium
Lineage: Bacteria
Description: bacterial SSU rRNA
Rfam family: Bacterial small subunit ribosomal RNA
Source: RNAcentral
AGCCAGACUCCUACGGGAGGCAGCAGUGAGGAAUAUUGGUCAAUGGGCGAGAGCCUGAACCAGCCAAGUCGCGUGAGGGAGUACUGCCCUAUGGGUUGUAAACCUCUUUUGUCGGGGAGCAAAAGCCGGACGUGUCCGGAGGGAGAGUACCCGCAGAAUAAGCAUCGGCUAACUCCGUGCCAGCAGCCGCGGUAAUACGGAGGAUGCGAGCGUUAUCCGGAUUUAUUGGGUUUAAAGGGUGCGUAGGCGGAUUUUUAAGUCAGCGGUAAAAUGUCCGGGCUCAACCCGGGCCGGCCGUUGAAACUGGGGAUCUUGAGUGGGCGAAAAGUAUGCGGAAUGCGUGGUGUAGCGGUGAAAUGCAUAGAUAUCACGCAGAACCCCGAUUGCGAAGGCAGCAUACCGGCGCCCUACUGACGCUGAGGCACGAAAGUGCGGGUAUCGAACAGGAUUAGAUACCCUCGUAU